Molecule: transfer RNA, 73 nt
Filed under: Vicugna pacos (alpaca)
Lineage: Eukaryota; Metazoa; Chordata; Mammalia; Artiodactyla; Camelidae
Description: tRNA-Ala (AGC) (tRNA-Ala-AGC-439-1)
Rfam family: tRNA
About the family: Transfer RNA (tRNA) molecules are approximately 80 nucleotides in length. Their secondary structure includes four short double-helical elements and three loops (D, anti-codon, and T loops). Further hydrogen bonds mediate the characteristic L-shaped molecular structure. tRNAs have two regions of fundamental functional importance: the anti-codon, which is responsible for specific mRNA codon recognition, and the 3' end, to which the tRNAs corresponding amino acid is attached (by aminoacyl-tRNA synthetases). tRNAs cope with the degeneracy of the genetic code in two manners: having more than one tRNA (with a specific anti-codon) for a particular amino acid; and 'wobble' base-pairing, i.e. permitting non-standard base-pairing at the 3rd anti-codon position.
Source: RNAcentral
GGAGGGUAUAGCUCAGUGGUAGAGCACAUGCCUAGCAUGCACGAGGUCCUGGGUUCAAUCCCCAGUACCUCCA